GGCAACGAUCAGUAGCGGGUCUGAGAGGAUGAUCCGCCACACUGGGACUGAGACACGGCCCAGACUCCUACGGGAGGCAGCAGUGGGGAAUUUUGGACAAUGGGCGCAAGCCUGAUCCAGCCAUGCCGCGUGUCUGAAGAAGGCCUUCGGGUUGUAAAGGACUUUUGUCCGGGAGCAAAUCCCAGUGGUUAAUACCUACUGGGGCUGAGAGUACCGGAAGAAUAAGCACCGGCUAACUACGUGCCAGCAGCCGCGGUAAUACGUAGGGUGCAAGCGUUAAUCGGAAUUACUGGGCGUAAAGCGUGCGCAGGCGGUUGUGCAAGUCUGAUGUGAAAGCCCCGGGCUUAACCUGGGAACGGCAUUGGAGACUGCACGACUAGAGUGCGUCAGAGGGGGGUAGAAUUCCGCGUGUAGCAGUGA
This 420-nucleotide ribosomal RNA is filed under the name Chromobacterium sp. 09B(2010). RNAcentral's name for it is "bacterial SSU rRNA". It matches the Rfam family "Bacterial small subunit ribosomal RNA", at positions 272 to 684 of the family's 1533-position model. The record is from RNAcentral. Lineage: Bacteria; Pseudomonadati; Pseudomonadota; Betaproteobacteria; Neisseriales; Chromobacteriaceae. RNAcentral also lists the same sequence under 3 other names.